CCUACGGGUGGCAGCAGUGGGGAAUAUUGCACAAUGGGGGAAACCCUGAUGCAGCGACGCCGCGUGAGUGAAGAAGUAUUUCGGUAUGUAAAGCUCUAUCAUCAGGGAAGAAAAUGACGGUAACUGAUUAAGAAGCCCCUGCUAACUACUUGCCAGCAUCCGCGGUAAUACGUAGGGGGCAAGCGUUAUCCGGAUUUACUGGUGGUAAAGGGAGCGUAGACGGCAGCGCAAGUCUGAAGUGAAAUGCCGUGGCUUAACCCCGGAACUGCAUUGGAAACUGGGCAGCUAGAGUGCAGAAGAGGUAAGUGGAAUUCCAAGUGUAGCGGUGAAAUGCGUAGAUAUUAGGAGGAACACCAGUGGCGAAGGCGGCUUACUGGACUGUAACUGACGUUGAGGCUCGAAAGCGUGGGGAGCAAACAGGAUUAGAUACCCUUGUAGUC
This 440-nucleotide ribosomal RNA is filed under the name uncultured bacterium. RNAcentral describes it as "partial 16S ribosomal RNA". It matches the Rfam family "Bacterial small subunit ribosomal RNA", at positions 338 to 795 of the family's 1533-position model. The record is from RNAcentral.